CCUACGGGAGGCAGCAGUGGGGAAUAUUGCACAAUGGGGGAAACCCUGAUGCAGCGACGCCGCGUGAAGGAAGAAGGUUUUCGGAUCGUAAACUUCUAUCAGCAGGGAAGAAGAAAGUGACAGUACCUGACUAAGAAGCCCCGGCUAACUACGUGCCAGCAGCCGCGGUAAUACGUAGGGGGCAAGCGUUGUCCGGAAUCACUGGGUGUGAAGGGUGCGUAGGCGGUAGUGCAAGUCAGAGGUGAAAGCCCGUGGCUCAACUCCGAGAUUGCAUUUGAAACUGUCUUACUAGAGAGGAGGAGAGGAAAGCAGAAUUCCUAGGGUGCCGGUGAAAUGAGUAGAUAGUAGAAAGAGCACCAGUGGCGAAGGCGGCAUUCUGGACUGUAACUAACGCGGAGGCACGAAAGGGUGGAGAGCGAACAGGAUUAGAUACCCCAGUAGUC
Molecule: ribosomal RNA, 443 nt
Filed under: uncultured bacterium
Lineage: Bacteria
Description: bacterial SSU rRNA
Rfam family: Bacterial small subunit ribosomal RNA
Source: RNAcentral